This 2918-nucleotide long non-coding RNA is filed under the name Triticum aestivum (bread wheat). Its description in RNAcentral is "long non-coding RNA (TAES_LNC017380)". The record is from RNAcentral. Lineage: Eukaryota; Viridiplantae; Streptophyta; Magnoliopsida; Poales; Poaceae.
UUUAGAAAACGAGUAUGAACCCGUGCCUUUGCAUCUGGACAUGCAUACAGCCAUUUUAUUAAUUAUUGACGAAGACCUUACAAAGUAAUAUAUUGAUCAGUCUAAAGCCACCAUCUCAGCAAUAUCUGUCACUACUCCUAUCAACUUUGCACCAAAGUCUAACAUCUAAAUCCGAAGACCCCAACCAAGCCACAAUGCCGGGUCUCGGCACACACCGGUCCGGCGCACCCUCAGAGGCGGCCGCCGCCAUCUUCCACCGAUCCAUUCAGAAUAGGAACUGACGCAUCGACCUUUGACAGGCCUUUCGUCAAUGACACCACAAUGCCAGACAGCGUCGUCCUCCUGCUUAUCAUGAGAAACAUUUAAAACGUAUUGUUGAACAAAUGUCAACUUUUUUUAGCACAUUCAGCAUUUUUCAUAUACAUAAAAACGUAUUUUAUACACAUUUAAAUAUUUUAAAUACAUGAUUAACAUGUUUUGAAAACUUAUUAUAUGAUCACUAUUUUUUCCAUACUUAUUUUAAAUUUUUGGUAUAUAUCAAAUACAUUUUUAAAACAAUAUUAUCAUUUUUUGAAUACAUGGUCAACAUUUUUUAAUACACGGUGAAUUUUUGUAAUGGCAAUAAACAUUUCUUCACCCAUAAUGUACAUUUUCAUAUACAUCAAAAACAUUUUUAUAUACAUGUUUACAUUUUUCCAAAUACAGAAUUAAAAUUUUAAAGUAUAUGUUGUUUUCUUGAAUUUUAUUUAAUGUACAUUGUACAUUUUUGUAUACACUACAAACACUUUUCUAUACACGUUUAACAUUUUUUAAAUACAUUAUCAACAUUUUUCUCAUGCACGCUGUAUAUAUUUUCAUAUACAUGACAAACAUUAUAUAUACUAGUCGUCAACCCGUGCAUCCGCACGGGCUAUAGAUAUUAUAAUUCUAGUAAGAAUCUAGAUCCCACGUGAAAUAUAUUACUCCCUCCGAUUGAAAAUAAGUGUAAUGGUUUUAGUUCAUUGGAACAGAAAAUAGUAAAGACUGAGAAUUACAAAAAAUAACUUAAGCUUAAAUGAAUGAAGAUCACAUUAGGGAAGGUAUAUAAAACAUUACUCCAUAUAUACAACGAACUCGAUGGAAUUUUAGUGGCUUUAAUCAUUGUCAGGUUACUGAUUGAUGACCCAUAUGAACCCAAAGCUUAUCUUUGCAUAAUCUAUGUCAGCGUAUUCUUUUUAGAAACAGAUGACAAUAAGGGGAAAUAUUGAAUAUUCAUUUAGAAUAAUAUAAAAAUAACGACAGAGACUUACAAAUAAUAACUUAAUUAAACCUACAUGAUUAGAGACCACAUUAGGUAAGUAGCACAAUGCGCCAUAGCUUUAAUAUAACCAACACAAUGGAAUAUUAUUACCAUGAGGAAUGGGAAGAUUACUGAUCGACGAUCCAUCUUAAUCCAAAUUUAUUCUUUGUAUAAUUUGUAUCGGCACAUUCUUUGGGAAUCGAUAGUAAAAAGUGUAAAUAUUGGAUACAGUUUUAGAAUAUUUUGCGUAUAUUUUAUACCACUGUACUUGUCAGUACGUGGACCUAUUGAUGUUAUUAGUUUGUGUUAGAUAGCAUACAAAACUCUCACGUAUAGAAAAAGAUAGAAAACACUGCAUGCAGAAGUCCACUUAGCUUCAGAUCAUAUGCACUUGCCAUGAACAGUAAAUUAGAAAACAAUUGUAAAACAAAAUCAAAUUGGUUUCAGUUUUGAGUGCUUGCAAAGUUUUGGGUUUUUAAAGUUGGUUGAAGUUUUGAGUGCCUGCAAAGUUUUAUUACAGAAUAACAUUCGUGGAAGUUGUCCCCAAAAAAGACAACCAUUGGUCCAAAAUGCUUUCAAAGAUAGAAUUUUUGGAUCACCAUUUUUUUUCAUAACUUCCACGAUUGUUAUUAUAUCAUGAAACUUUGCAAGCACUCAGAGCAUUCAUCAAUAUUUGCAACCAAAAAACUGUCAUCAUUUUUUGAAUUUUUUGUUGGAUUUUACUGUUUUUUCUCGAAUACCAGAUUUUACUGUUUACGCAAGCUCAUUUGAGCUCAGAGCUAAGAUACUCCACUGUAUGAUCCUUCUUGGAUGCUACUUGCAACUACUGCUGUAUACAAAUGAAGGAUAAUCAGCUUGUGUAGUUCCAUCAUUUAAUAUGUGCAUCUUCAAAAAAUGGAAAGUUCAAAAUAGAAUGGUUAAUAUAAAUAUUGAGCUGUUGCUCACACACUAACUUACAGGGGUGGCUAUACUUACCUCAACAUUCAACCUACAUAUAUGCCUCGGUUGGGCAUGGAUCAUCUUACAAACCUGUGCCUUGAAUGCCAAAAUUAGCUUUUACAGAAUUUUUACCUAACCAUGCUUUGACAUUUAACUCCUUGUGCUAUGUACAACUCUAAGUAUUACAGCUAGAUAUGAGCACGACCGUUGUAAAAUAUACAAUGUUUCAGAAAUAGUGCCGUUAUAUAUUUCUCUAUCUUUCAAAACCAAUUAAGAAAAAAAUACAUGCUCAAGUAAAACUAAUUAAGAAAAAAACCAAUCCGAUAAAAUUUGCUCAAGUGAAAUAUUCAAAGCAUAAGUUAUAUUAUAGUCAUGUGUUGAAAAAAAAUAAAAAGUUAGAAAAGUCUUUUUUCGGGCCAUAAAGAUCAAGUGCAAUUUGUUAAUAGUACCGGUUCUCCCUCCGAAGGUUGUCGAUUGAGAAUAUUGCUGUUCCAUUUAUCUUGUUGCGGAUGGCAGAAUCCUCUUUGGCACAACAUGGCGAAUUUGCACCUGCUGCAUGUACGCACACAUGAAUACAGGCUUAAUAUUAAGAGCAGUGGGUAUGUAUCAAUCUACGCAUAGAGUGUAGAGAUUAAGAGCAGUGGUUAUGUAUCAAGUUACGCAUACAGUAUAGAGUACAGUUACUGUAAUAUGACCAUGG